Molecule: ribosomal RNA, 253 nt
Filed under: uncultured bacterium
Lineage: Bacteria
Description: partial 16S ribosomal RNA
Rfam family: Bacterial small subunit ribosomal RNA
Source: RNAcentral
UACGUAGGGUGCAAGCGUUGUCCGGAAUUAUUGGGCGUAAAGAGCUUGUAGGCGGUCUGUCGCGUCUGCUGUGAAAAUCCGGGGCUCAACCCCGGACUUGCAGUGGGUACGGGCAGACUAGAGUGCGGUAGGGGAGAUUGGAAUUCCUGGUGUAGCGGUGGAAUGCGCAGAUAUCAGGAGGAACACCAAUGGCGAAGGCAGAUCUCUGGGCCGUAACUGACGCUGAGGAGCGAAAGCAUGGGGAGCGAACAGG